Molecule: small nuclear RNA, 107 nt
Filed under: Castor canadensis (American beaver)
Lineage: Eukaryota; Metazoa; Chordata; Mammalia; Rodentia; Castoridae
Source: RNAcentral
GUGCUCGCUUUGGCAGUACAUACACUAAAAUUGGAACGAUACAGAGAAGAUUAGCGUGACCCCUGCACAAGAAUGGUACGCAAAUUCAUUAAAUGUUAAAAAAAACA